UACCAGCACCCCGAGUGGUCGGGACGUUUAUUGGGCCUAAAGCAUCCGUAGCCGGUUCUACAAGUCUUCCGUUAAAUCCACCUGCUUAACAGAUGGGCUGCGGAAGAUACUAUAGAGCUAGGAGGCGGGAGAGGCAAGCGGUACUCGAUGGGUAGGGGUAAAAUCCGUUGAUCCAUUGAAGACCACCAGUGGCGAAGGCGGCUUGCCAGAACGCGCUCGACGGUGAGGGAUGAAAGCUGGGGGAG
RNAcentral lists this ribosomal RNA (245 nucleotides) under uncultured bacterium. RNAcentral describes it as "partial 16S ribosomal RNA". It matches the Rfam family "Archaeal small subunit ribosomal RNA", at positions 474 to 719 of the family's 1478-position model. The record is from RNAcentral.